This 466-nucleotide ribosomal RNA is filed under the name uncultured bacterium. RNAcentral's name for it is "partial 16S ribosomal RNA". It matches the Rfam family "Bacterial small subunit ribosomal RNA", at positions 28 to 507 of the family's 1533-position model. The record is from RNAcentral.
GACGAACGCUGGCGGCGCGCCUAACACAUGCAAGUCGAACGAGCGAGAGAGAGCUUGCUUUCUCGAGCGAGUGGCGAACGGGUGAGUAACGCGUGAGGAACCUGCCUCAAAGAGGGGGACAACAGUUGGAAACGACUGCUAAUACCGCAUAAGCCCACGGCUCGGCAUCGAGCAGGGGGAAAAGGAGCAAUCCGCUUUGAGUUGGCCUCGCGUCCGAUUAGCUAGUUGGUGAGGUAACGGCCCACCAAGGCGACGAUCGGUAGCCGGACUGAGAGGUUGAACGGCCACAUUGGGAAUGAGACACGGCCCAGACUCCUACGGGAGGCAGCAGUGGGGAAUAUUGCACAAUGGGGGAAACCCUGAUGCAGCGACGCCGCGUGGAGGAAGAAGGUCUUCGGAUUGUAAACUCCUGUUGUUGGGGAAGAUAAUGACGGUACCCAACAAGGAAGUGACGGCUAACUACGUG